This 439-nucleotide long non-coding RNA is filed under the name Mytilus galloprovincialis (Mediterranean mussel). The record is from RNAcentral. Lineage: Eukaryota; Metazoa; Mollusca; Bivalvia; Mytilida; Mytilidae.
GGGUUAUUAGCAGCAGUUACUUAUCAAUGUAACAACACAUUUUAUGCUUUAAAACAAUAAAAAAAGGUACAAAGAUAACAAAAUAUAAAAUUUGACAUACAAAUACAAUGGUUUUAGUACUGUGCAAUACUGAAUAUCUCAUUUGAAUUUCAGUAUACUCAGCACAUGCAGCACUGUACAUCAAACCAUCACACUUUAGAGAAAGCAAAACAUCUAAAUGUGAGUCUGAUUCUACUACACUAGUAUAUACUGCUUUUUACCUAACAUUUGCUCAUUGCAUACUUAUGUUUUUAACCAUUUUUAACAUGUCAACAUAACGGCAGGAUGAGAUUCUCAAGAUUUAUUUUUCUUCCUUUUUCUUUGAUUGAAUCUCAAUUCUAAUUGAUUGAAUAAUAAAAGUAGUUAGUGUGCAAUUAUAAGAGGGAAAAUAUGUUAAAAU